AUUUGAUGAUGUGGACAUUGUAUCUACAACUCCCCAAAUCUUUCCCAAGCGACGAAGAAUUCCUCCGUAUGCUUCUGUCUAAAAGUCUUGAUCUUGUUUCUUAACU
RNAcentral lists this small nucleolar RNA (106 nucleotides) under Thalictrum thalictroides. RNAcentral's name for it is "Plant small nucleolar RNA R71". It matches the Rfam family "Plant small nucleolar RNA R71". Rfam says of the family: R71 is a member of the C/D box family of snoRNAs containing the C (UGAUGA) and D (CUGA) box motifs. Multiple nearly identical copies of this snoRNA have been identified in Arabidopsis, and it is thought to function as a 2'-O-ribose methylation guide for 18S ribosomal RNA. The record is from Rfam by way of RNAcentral. Lineage: Eukaryota; Viridiplantae; Streptophyta; Magnoliopsida; Ranunculales; Ranunculaceae.